UGGGGAAUCUUGCGCAAUGGGCGAAAGCCUGACGCAGCCAUGCCGCGUGAAUGAUGAAGGUCUUAGGAUUGUAAAAUUCUUUCACCGGGGACGAUAAUGACGGUACCCGGAGAAGAAGCCCCGGCUAACUUCGUGCCAGCAGCCGCGGUAAUACGAAGGGGGCUAGCGUUGCUCGGAAUUACUGGGCGUAAAGGGCGCGUAGGCGGACAGUUUAGUCAGAGGUGAAAGCCCAGGGCUCAACCUUGGAAUUGCCUUUGAUACUGGCUGUCUUGAGUACGGGAGAGGUGAGUGGAACUCCGAGUGUAGAGGUGAAAUUCGUAGAUAUUCGGAAGAACACCAGUGGCGAAGGCGACUCACUGGCCCGUUACUGACGCUGAGGCGCGAAAGCGUGGGGAGCAAACA
RNAcentral lists this ribosomal RNA (402 nucleotides) under uncultured bacterium. Its description in RNAcentral is "bacterial SSU rRNA". It matches the Rfam family "Bacterial small subunit ribosomal RNA", at positions 355 to 774 of the family's 1533-position model. RNAcentral also lists the same sequence under 1 other name. The record is from RNAcentral.